RNAcentral lists this ribosomal RNA (374 nucleotides) under uncultured organism. Its description in RNAcentral is "partial 16S ribosomal RNA". It matches the Rfam family "Bacterial small subunit ribosomal RNA", at positions 527 to 896 of the family's 1533-position model. The record is from RNAcentral.
GGAGGGUGCAAACGUUGCUCGGAAUUAUUGGGCGUAAAGCGCGCGCAGGCGGCUUGGCAAGUCAAAUGUGAAAGCCCUCGGCUUAACCGAGGAAUUGCAUUUGAAACCGCUUGGCUUGAGUACGGGAGAGGGUGACGGAAUUCCCGGUGUAGAGGUGAAAUUCGUAGAUAUCGGGAGGAACACCAGUGGCGAAGGCGGUCACCUGGACCGAUACUGACGCUCAGUGUGCGAAAGCGUGGGGAGCAAACAGGAUUAGAUACCCUGGUAGUCCACGCUGUAAACGAUGGGCACUAGGUGUCGCGGGUAUUGACCCCCCUGCGGUGCCGCAGCUAACGCGUUAAGUGCCCCGCCUGGGGAGUACGGCCGCAAGGUUA